UACGAAGGGGGCUAGCGUUGCUCGGAAUUACUGGGCGUAAAGGGAGCGUAGGCGGAUAGUUUAGUCAGAGGUGAAAGCCCAGGGCUCAACCUUGGAACAGCCUUUGAUACUGGCUAUCUUGAGUACGGGAGAGGUGAGUGGAACUCCGAGUGUAGAGGUGAAAUUCGUAGAUAUUCGGAAGAACACCAGUGGCGAAGGCGGCCUUCUGGACCAAUACUGACGCUCAUGCACGAAAGCGUGGGGAGCAAACAGG
This 253-nucleotide ribosomal RNA is filed under the name uncultured bacterium. RNAcentral's name for it is "partial 16S ribosomal RNA". It matches the Rfam family "Bacterial small subunit ribosomal RNA", at positions 524 to 776 of the family's 1533-position model. The record is from RNAcentral.